ACGGAAGGCAGCAGUGGGGAAUAUUGCACAAUGGAGGAAACUCUGAUGCAGCGAUGCCGCGUGGAGGAAGAAGGUUUUCGGAUUGUAAACUCCUGUCUUAAGGGACGAUAAUGACGGUACCUUAGGAGGAAGCUCCGGCUAACUACGUGCCAGCAGCCGCGGUAAUACGUAGGGAGCGAGCGUUGUCCGGAAUUACUGGGUGUAAAGGGAGUGUAGGCGGGACUGUAAGUCAGAUGUGAAAUAUGCCGGCUCAACUGGCAGACUGCAUUUGAAACUGCGGUUCUUGAGUGAAGUAGAGGUAAGCGGAAUUCCUAGUGUAGCGGUGAAAUGCGUAGAUAUUAGGAGGAACAUCAGUGGCGAAGGCGGCUUACUGGGCUUUAACUGACGCUGAGGCUCGAAAGCGUGGGGAGCAAACAGGAUUAGAUACCCUGGUA
This 434-nucleotide ribosomal RNA is filed under the name uncultured Ruminococcus sp. RNAcentral describes it as "partial 16S ribosomal RNA". It matches the Rfam family "Bacterial small subunit ribosomal RNA", at positions 341 to 792 of the family's 1533-position model. Lineage: Bacteria; Bacillati; Bacillota; Clostridia; Eubacteriales; Oscillospiraceae. The record is from RNAcentral.